GACUCAUCACUUGAUUUUGAGUCUAGUACUUCUCUAUACCCAGUAUGAAUGGAAGCUCUUGACGUCUGCUUAUCAAGAAUAUUAUCAUGCUUCUCUUGAUCUCGGAAAUACUCAUUUACACAACCUGCAAUUUUUCUUUGUGCAGCUGUGGAGGUCCUCUCCCGACCAGUUUGGCAAUACGAAGAGGCUCAUAAAUAGGCAUAUGGCACACCCUAUAGCAAUUGUACUCAAGCGAUCUCGUGCUAAAGGCAGUAUGUUCUCUUGGCGGAAGCUUGAGACCGUUAUCAGAUUGAAGGAAUCCUGCUGAUCUUCUUCACUCUCUCAGGAAGCAUCAGCAAGCUGUUCUUGUUGUUGCUGCUGGGAUCUACAGCACAAGCCAUUCUUGCAGCCUGGGGCUGAAGAUGAAUGCUCAGGUUCCUUGAAAGAUGGCAAUGCUACCAACCAUAAGUGUAGGUGUCCCAAAUAUCAGGAAGGGAGAGGACGCCACCUUCCUCCCGUUUGUUGAGCAACUCGCCGAAUCACAGGACGAUACGCACUUCUCCUUUUCCUGACGCUGAUACGUGGUGAUGGCGGCCUUGACUUUGCACUGGACCAUCGGCUGAAUGAGUUCACGUGAAGAGGAAGUUGGGAAAGGCCCCGGCCUCGGCAAGCUGCUCGUGUGCGCGCCUUGAUUGGACGACAAUGGCCGGCUCGUCCGGUCCCGGUCCGGCGGUGGUGGAGAGCGACAUGUGCGGAUGGCCGCUUGAGGUUGUAGUGUAGGGCGAAGGUCACGGUUGUCGCCGGGUUCAGAUUGGUCGUGCGGCCGCGUUGCCAGCUGCGGUGAUGCUCUGCCGUCGGAUUUCUUUUUGCCGUCCGGUGGUCGACACCUUGCCAGGCGAGGGCACACCUGUGAACUGGUUGGUGGCCUUGUGUCAAACCCGCACUUGAAAUGCACGGCUGGUGCUGGACUUUGGGUUCGUUCGCAUUGAUCACAACUAAUUUCGGUAUAAUUUUGUUUUUUUGUCGCUAAGCCUUUGUAUCAUUGCGUGAUUUCUAAAACAAAACUUCUGUUUUUUUACUAGUGAUAGCAACAACUAUUUUUUCUCUUGUUA
Triticum urartu is the source of this 1091-nucleotide non-coding RNA. NCBI's taxonomy places the organism in Eukaryota, Viridiplantae, Streptophyta, Magnoliopsida, Poales, Poaceae. The record is from RefSeq and is a predicted model, not a curated record.